Molecule: small RNA, 520 nt
Filed under: uncultured Glomus
Lineage: Eukaryota; Fungi; Glomeromycota; Glomeromycetes; Glomerales; Glomeraceae
Description: SSU rRNA
Rfam family: Eukaryotic small subunit ribosomal RNA
Source: RNAcentral
AGCAGCCGCGGUAAUUCCAGCUCCAAUAGCGUAUAUUAAAGUUGUUGCAGUUAAAAAGCUCGUAGUUGAAUUUCGGGAUCAAUGCGUCGGUCGUGCCUUCGGUACGUACUAGCGUCAUUGAUUCCUCCCUUCUGAAGAACCGUGAUGUCAUUAAUUUGGUGUUACGGGGAAUCAGGACUGUUACCUUGAAAAAUUAGAGUGUUUAAAGCAGGCUAACGCUUGAAUACAUUAGCAUGGAAUAAUGAAAUAGGACGUUCGAACCUAUUUUGUUGGUUUCUAGGAUCGACGUAAUGAUUAAUAGGGAUAGUUGGGGGCAUUAGUAUUCAAUUGUCAGAGGUGAAAUUCUUGGAUUUAUUGAAGACUGACUACUGCGAAAGCAUUUGCCAAGGAUGUUUUCAUUAAUCAAGAACGAAAGUUAGGGGAUCGAAGACGAUCAGAUACCGUCGUAGUCUUAACCAUAAACUAUGCCGACUAGGGAUCGGAUGAUGUUAAUUUUAUAAUGACUCAUUCGGCGCCUUAA